RNAcentral lists this ribosomal RNA (207 nucleotides) under Bacteroides fragilis. RNAcentral's name for it is "partial 16S ribosomal RNA". It matches the Rfam family "Bacterial small subunit ribosomal RNA", at positions 1177 to 1383 of the family's 1533-position model. Lineage: Bacteria; Pseudomonadati; Bacteroidota; Bacteroidia; Bacteroidales; Bacteroidaceae. The record is from RNAcentral.
GGAUGACGUCAAAUCAGCACGGCCCUUACGUCCGGGGCUACACACGUGUUACAAUGGGGGGUACAGAAGGCAGCUAGCGGGUGACCGUAUGCUAAUCCCAAAAUCCUCUCUCAGUUCGGAUCGAAGUCUGCAACCCGACUUCGUGAAGCUGGAUUCGCUAGUAAUCGCGCAUCAGCCACGGCGCGGUGAAUACGUUCCCGGGCCUUG